GAAAGCGAUGCUAAUACCGGAUAAUAUCUUAAGUACUUCGGUUCUUAAAAUCAAAGGUGGCCUCUACAUGUAAGCUACUGUUUGGGGAUGAGCCCGCGUACCAUUAGCUUGUUGGUAGGGUAAUGGCCUACCAAGGCAACGAUGGUUAGCUGGUCUGAGAGGAUGAUCAGCCACACUGGAACUGACACACGGUCCAGACUCCUACGGGAGGCAGCAGUGAGGAAUUUUGCGCAAUGGGGGAAACCCUGACGCAGCAACGCCGCGUGAGUGAUGAAGGCUUUCGGGUCGUAAAGCUCUGUCAAGUGGGAAGAAUCCACAGGGUGUUAAUAACACCUUGUGCUGACGGUACCACUGAAGGAAGCACCGGCUAACUCCGUGCCAGCAGCCGCGGUAAUACGGGGGGUGCAAGCGUUAUUCGGAAUUACUGGGCGUAAAGAGCGCGUAGGCGGUCUUUUAAGUCAGGUGUGAAAGCCCGGGGCUUAACCCCGGAAGUGCAUUUGAAAUUAAGAGACUUGAGUAUGGGAGAGGGAAGUGG
Molecule: ribosomal RNA, 535 nt
Filed under: uncultured bacterium
Lineage: Bacteria
Description: bacterial SSU rRNA
Rfam family: Bacterial small subunit ribosomal RNA
Source: RNAcentral